Non-coding RNA from Triticum aestivum (bread wheat), 133 nucleotides. NCBI's taxonomy places the organism in Eukaryota, Viridiplantae, Streptophyta, Magnoliopsida, Poales, Poaceae. The record is from Rfam.
AAAUUACUCCCUCCAAUCCAUAUUACUUGUCUCAAAUUUGUAUACAUAUGUAUGUAUCUACCACUAACGUGUCCACAUACAUCUAUAUCUAGACAAAUCUAAGACAAGUAAUAUGGAUCGAAGGGAGUACAAA